AUUGAACGCUGGCGGCAUGCCUUACACAUGCAAGUCGAACGGUAGAGCAGCAAUGCUUGAGAGUGGCGAACGGGUGAGUAAUAUAUCGGAACGUGCCCAGUCGUGGGGGGUAACGUAGAGAAAUUUACGCUAAUACCGCAUACGAUCUAAGGAUGAAAGCGGGGGACUCGCAAGAGCCUCGCGCGAUUGGAGCGGCUGAUAUCAGAUUAGGUUGUUGGUGAGGUAAAAGCUCACCAAGCCGACGAUCUGUAGCUGGUUUGAGAGAACGACCAGCCACACUGGGACUGAGACACGGCCCAGACUCCUACGGGAGGCAGCAGUGGGGAAUUUUGGACAAUGGGCGAAAGCCUGAUCCAGCAAUGCCGCGUGUGGGAAGAAGGCCUUCGGGUUGUAAACCACUUUUGUACGGAACGAAACGGUCUGCUUUAAUACAGCGGGCUAAUGACGGUACCGUAAGAAUAAGCACCGGCUAACUACGUGCCAGCAGCCGCGGUAAUACGUAGGGUGCGAGCGUUAAUCGGAAUUACUGGGGCGUAAAGCGUGCGCAGGCGGUUAUAUAAGACAGUUGUGAAAUCCCCGGGCUCAACCUGGGAAUUGCAUCUGUGACUGUAUAGCUAGAGUACGGUAGAGGGGGAUGGAAUUCCGCGUGUAGCAGUGAAAUGCGUAGAUAUGCGGAGGAACACCGAUGGCGAAGGCAAUCCCCUGGACUGUACUGACGCUCAUGCACGAAAGCGUGGGGAGCAACAGGAUUAGAUACCCUGGUAGUCAACGCCCUAAACGAUUGUCAACUGGNGUGGGUGCAUAGUACCUCAGUAACGAAGCUAACGCG
Molecule: ribosomal RNA, 829 nt
Filed under: uncultured bacterium
Lineage: Bacteria
Description: bacterial SSU rRNA
Rfam family: Bacterial small subunit ribosomal RNA
Source: RNAcentral